This 321-nucleotide ribosomal RNA is filed under the name uncultured Aerococcus sp. Its description in RNAcentral is "bacterial SSU rRNA". It matches the Rfam family "Bacterial small subunit ribosomal RNA", at positions 370 to 688 of the family's 1533-position model. Lineage: Bacteria; Bacillati; Bacillota; Bacilli; Lactobacillales; Aerococcaceae. The record is from RNAcentral.
AACCGGAUUGGACGGAGCACGCCGCGUGAGUGAUGAAGGCUUUCGGGUCGUAAAACUCUGUUGUUAGGGAAGAACAAGUGCUAGUUGAAUAAGCUGGCACCUUGACGGUACCUAACCAGAAAGCCACGGCUAACUACGUGCCAGCAGCCGCGGUAAUACGUAGGUGGCAAGCGUUAUCCGGAAUUAUUGGGCGUAAAGCGCGCGCAGGUGGUUUCUUAAGUCUGAUGUGAAAGCCCACGGCUCAACCGUGGAGGGUCAUUGGAAACUGGGAGACUUGAGUGCAGAAGAGGAAAGUGGAAUUCCAUGUGUAGCGGUGAAAUA